GAAGCUUGACUUGGAUAGAUAAAGUACUGGAGAAUCACCAGGAAGUUGAAUAAAUCUCAUAGGAGUUAGGAUGAAGAACCUAUCCCACUUUCAAAUCAGGUGAUCCCAGUUUUCCUGUUUGGGAAUAUGACAACUUCUUCGUCAUUCUAAUCAAACCAGCAUGAACCGGGAUGUAAGAAGCUUGAUUUGGAUACAUGAAGUACUGGAAAAUGACCAGGAAGUUGAAUAAUUCUCAUAGGCGUUAGGAUGAAGAACCU
Molecule: long non-coding RNA, 257 nt
Filed under: Brassica napus (rape)
Lineage: Eukaryota; Viridiplantae; Streptophyta; Magnoliopsida; Brassicales; Brassicaceae
Description: long non-coding RNA (BNAP_LNC017115)
Source: RNAcentral